Molecule: small RNA, 127 nt
Filed under: Marmota monax (woodchuck)
Lineage: Eukaryota; Metazoa; Chordata; Mammalia; Rodentia; Sciuridae
Source: RNAcentral
GCCGGGUGUGGUGGUGCACAUGUGUAAUCCCAGCAGCUGAGGAGGCUGAGGCAGGAGGAUUGCAAGUUUGAGGCCAGUCUCAGCAACUUAGGGAGGCCCUAAGCAACUUAGCAAGAUCAUGUCUCAA